UCAGUGAAUACUCUAGGACAAAACUUGACGAUUCAGUAAAUGCAAAUGCAUUGUUGAUGGCUUCUCAGGUGAAUAAAGAAAAGGAAACAGUUAAGGCCAAUGAAUCGACAAGAUCACAAAGGCCAAGAGGGAGACCACGAAAGAAACCUGUGGAGAAGAUUGAUUCAGAGAGCCAAUAUGUGCAACCUCUGGCAAUUGACUACCCUGAAGAUUCAUCCAUAUUACAUUCUAUAGAGAGCGCUUCUGCAAAUACAAACGAACAUGAUGAUUCAGUUAAUGAAGAUGCAUUAUUGAUGGCUUUUCAGGUGAAUAAAGAAAAGGAAACACUUAAAUCCAACAAUUCAACAAAACCUCAAAGACUACGAAGGAGACCACUAAAGAAACCUGUAAAUGUACCUGUGGAGAAGAUUGAUUCUGAGAGCCAAUAUGUGCAACCUCUUGCAAUUGAGUACCCUGAAGAUUCAUCUAGAUUACAUUCUGUAGAGACGGAUUCCGCAAAUACGAAUGAACAAGUUGUCAGUGGAGACUCU
This 530-nucleotide long non-coding RNA is filed under the name Olea europaea (common olive). Its description in RNAcentral is "long non-coding RNA (OEUR_LNC007585)". Lineage: Eukaryota; Viridiplantae; Streptophyta; Magnoliopsida; Lamiales; Oleaceae. The record is from RNAcentral.